CCGCAUGGUGGGUGUUGGAAAGAUUUAUCGGUUUUGGAUGGACUCGCGGCCUAUCAGCUUGUUGGUGAGGUAAUGGCUCACCAAGGCGACGACGGGUAGCCGGCCUGAGAGGGUGACCGGCCACACUGGGACUGAGACACGGCCCAGACUCCUACGGGAGGCAGCAGUGGGGAAUAUUGCACAAUGGGCGCAAGCCUGAUGCAGCGACGCCGCGUGAGGGAUGACGGCCUUCGGGUUGUAAACCUCUUUCAGUAGGGAAGAAGCGAAAGUGACGGUACCUGCAGAAGAAGCACCGGCUAACUACGUGCCAGCAGCCGCGGUAAUACGUAGGGUGCGAGCGUUAUCCGGAAUUAUUGGGCGUAAAGAGCUCGUAGGCGGUUUGUCGCGUCUGUCGUGAAAGUCCGGGGCUUAACCCCGGAUCUGCGGUGGGUACGGGCAGACUAGAGUGCAGUAGGGGAGACUGGAAUUCCUGGUGUAGCGGUGGAAUGCGCAGAUAUCAGGAGGAACACCGAUGGCGAAGGCAGGUCUCUGGGCUGUAACUGACGCUGAGGAGCGAAAGCAUGGGGAGCGAACAGGAUUAGAUACCCUGGUAGUCCAUGCCGUAAACGUUGGGCACUAGGUGUGGGGACCAUUCCACGGUUUCCGCGCCGCAGCUAACGCAUUAAGUGCCCC
RNAcentral lists this ribosomal RNA (672 nucleotides) under Micrococcus sp. 12BL. Its description in RNAcentral is "bacterial SSU rRNA". It matches the Rfam family "Bacterial small subunit ribosomal RNA", at positions 186 to 870 of the family's 1533-position model. The record is from RNAcentral. Lineage: Bacteria; Bacillati; Actinomycetota; Actinomycetes; Micrococcales; Micrococcaceae.